This is a non-coding RNA of Beta vulgaris subsp. vulgaris (sugar beet), 69 nucleotides long. NCBI's taxonomy places the organism in Eukaryota, Viridiplantae, Streptophyta, Magnoliopsida, Caryophyllales, Amaranthaceae. The record is from Rfam.
AACCUAUUAGCUUAAAUGGAAGAGCAUUGUGUCAUGCACAAGAUGUGGGUUCGAUUCCCAUAUAGAUUA